Molecule: unclassified non-coding RNA, 519 nt
Filed under: uncultured Glomeromycotina
Lineage: Eukaryota; Fungi; Glomeromycota
Description: SSU rRNA
Rfam family: Eukaryotic small subunit ribosomal RNA
Source: RNAcentral
CAGCCGCGUAAUUCCAGCUCCAAUAGCGUAUAUUAAAGUUGUUGCAGUUAAAAAGCUCGUAGUUGAAUUUCGAGAUCAGUACGCUGGUCGUGCCUUCGGUAUGCACUGGUGUCACUGGUUUCUCCCUUCUGAAGAACCGUCAUGCCAUUCAGUUGGUGUGGCGGGGAAUCAGGACUGUUACUUUGAAAAAAUUAGAGUGUUUAAAGCAGGCUCGCGCUUGAAUACAUUAGCAUGGAAUAAUGAAAUAGGACGUUUGCCCCUAUUUUGUUGGUUUCUAGGAUCGACGUAAUGAUUAAUAGGGAUAGUUGGGGGGAUUAGUAUUCAAUUGUCAGAGGUGAAAUUCUUGGAUUUAUUGAAGACUAACUACUGCGAAAGAAUUUGCCAAGGAUGUUUUCAUUAAUCAAGAACGAAAGUUAGGGGAUCGAAGACGAUCAGAUACCGUCGUAGUCUUAACCAUAAACUAUGCCGACUAGGGAUCGGAUGAUGUUAAUUUUUUAAUGACUCAUUCGGCGCCUUACG